This 254-nucleotide ribosomal RNA is filed under the name uncultured bacterium. RNAcentral's name for it is "partial 16S ribosomal RNA". It matches the Rfam family "Bacterial small subunit ribosomal RNA", at positions 524 to 776 of the family's 1533-position model. The record is from RNAcentral.
UACGUAGGGGGCAAGCGUUGUCCGGAAUCAUUGGGCGUAAAGAGCGUGUAGGCGGCCAGAAAAGUCCGCUGUGAAAACUCGAGGCUCAACUUCGAGCUGUCGGUGGAAACUUUCUGGCUAGAGUCCGGAAGAGGAGAAUGGAAUUCCUGGUGUAGCGGUGAAAUGCGCAGAUAUCAGGAAGAACACCCGUGGCGAAGGCGGUUCUCUGGGACGGUACUGACGCUGAGUGAGCGAAAGCCAGGGGAGCAAACAGG